AACGGUAACGGCCGGCACUCGGAUGGACUGCCGGCGACAAGCCGGAGGAAGGUGGGAUGACGUCAAGUCAUCAUGGCCCUUAUGUCCAGGGCGACACACGUGCUACAAUGGCCGGCACAGCGGGAAGCGAGGGGGCGACCUUGAGCGGAUCCCUCAAAGCCGGUCUCAGUUCGGAUUGCAGUCUGCAACUCGACUGCAUGAAGUUGGAAUCGCUAGUAAUCGUGGAUCAGCCAAGCCGCGGUGAAUACGUUCCCGGGCCUU
This 261-nucleotide ribosomal RNA is filed under the name uncultured Thermovirga sp. Its description in RNAcentral is "partial 16S ribosomal RNA". It matches the Rfam family "Bacterial small subunit ribosomal RNA", at positions 1120 to 1382 of the family's 1533-position model. Lineage: Bacteria; Thermotogati; Synergistota; Synergistia; Synergistales; Thermovirgaceae. The record is from RNAcentral.